RNAcentral lists this ribosomal RNA (520 nucleotides) under uncultured Glomus. Its description in RNAcentral is "SSU rRNA". It matches the Rfam family "Eukaryotic small subunit ribosomal RNA", at positions 569 to 1091 of the family's 1831-position model. The record is from RNAcentral. Lineage: Eukaryota; Fungi; Glomeromycota; Glomeromycetes; Glomerales; Glomeraceae.
AGCAGCCGCGGUAAUUCCAGCUCCAAUAGCGUAUAUUAAAGUUGUUGCAGUUAAAAAGCUCGUAGUUGAAUUUCGGGAUCGACGGGUCGGUCGCGCCUCCGGUGUGUACUGGCCCUGUCGGUUUCUCCCUUCUGACGAACCACGAUGUCAUUAAUUUGAUGUCGUGAGGAAUCAGGACUGUUACUUUGAAAAAAUUAGAGUGUUUAAAGCAGGCAUUCGCUUGAAUACAUUAGCAUGGAAUAAUGAAAUAGGACGUUUGAUCUUAUUUUGUUGGUUUCUAAGAUCGACGUAAUGAUUAAUAGGGAUAGUUGGGGGCAUUAGUAUUCAAUUGUCAGAGGUGAAAUUCUUGGAUUUAUUGAAGACUAACUACUGCGAAAGCAUUUGCCAAGGAUGUUUUCAUUAAUCAAGAACGAAAGUUAGGGGAUCGAAGACGAUCAGAUACCGUCGUAGUCUUAACCAUAAACUAUGCCGACUAGGGAUCGGAUGAUGUUAAUUUUUAAUGACUCAUUCGGCGCCUUAA